UAUAAAUGAAUUCAUUAAGUAAACUAUUUAAAUCAAUUAAAGAAGUAUAACAGUUACAUUUCAGUAAACAUUUGAAUCUACUGGUUAAUCCAAUAAUGGCUGUGACUACCUGCUCCAUGUCAGGGCUGUGAAAAUGUUCAGAGUCUGCCUUUGGGAGAUAUAACAUCUUGGAGGGAAAAGGAGAGCAAAGCAUGUUUCUUUAUGAUUUAUUUGUAACAGAUUUUCCCUUUUUGCACCUUCUGUUUUUCAGAGAUCUGUCUUACAACCUAUUAGAAGAUUUACCCAGUUUUUCAGUCUGCCAAAAGCUUCAGAAAAUUGACCUAAGACAUAAUGAAAUCUACGAAAUUAAAGUUGACACUUUCCAGCAGUUGCUUAGCCUCCGAUCGCUGAAUUUGGCUUGGAACAAAAUUGCUAUUAUUCACCCCAAUGCAUUUUCCACUUUGCCAUCCCUAAUAAAGCUGGACCUAUCGUCCAACCUCCUGUCGUCUUUUCCUAUAACUGGGUUACAUGGUUUAACUCACUUAAAAUUAACAGGAAAUCAUGCCUUACAGAGCUUGAUAUCAUCUGAAAACUUUC
Molecule: small RNA, 576 nt
Filed under: Pan troglodytes (chimpanzee)
Lineage: Eukaryota; Metazoa; Chordata; Mammalia; Primates; Hominidae
Description: retained intron
Source: RNAcentral